Long non-coding RNA from Eriocheir sinensis (Chinese mitten crab), 2237 nucleotides. RefSeq lists it as uncharacterized. The record is from RefSeq and is a predicted model, not a curated record. The transcript has 3 exons. Lineage: Eukaryota; Metazoa; Arthropoda; Malacostraca; Decapoda; Varunidae.
CAUGUGUUUGAAGAUACCCUAAACUUAACCUAACCUAACAAAACCCCAAACAGUCACUAUGGGUCUUGACUCAGAAAACUCAUUUAUGCUUUCUAACUAAUGAGACUUUCUAUACAACAAAGUGAGGUCAUUCUGUGUUGAUUUAUGCCAUAAGGUGCUGGCUAUCAUGUGUUUGAAGAUACCCUAAACUUAACCUAACCUAACCUAACAAAACCCCAAACAGUCACUAUAGGUCUUGACUCAGAAAACUCAUAUAUGCUUCCUUACUAAUGAGACUUUCUAUACAACAAAGUGAGGUCAUUCUGUGUUGAUUUAUACCAUAAGGUGCUGGCUAUCAUGUGUUUGAAGAUACCCUAAACUUAACCUAACAAAAUCCUAAACAGUCACUAUAGGUCUUGACUCAGAAAACUCAUCUAUGGUUCUUUACUAAUGAGACUUUCUAUACAACAAAGUGAGGUUAUUCUUUGUUGAUUUGUACCACAAGUCACUGGCUAUCAUGUGUUUGAGGAUACCCUAAACUUAACCUAACCUAACAAAACCCAAAACAGUCACUAUAGGCCUUGACUCAGAAAAUUCAUAUAUGCUUCCUUACUAAUGAGACUUUCUAUACAACAAAGUGAGGUCAUUCUUUGUUGAUUUAUACCAUAAGGUGCUGGCUGUCAUGUGUUUGAAGAUACCCUAAACUUAACCUAACCUAACCUAACAAAACCCAAAACAGUCACUAUAGGUCUUGACUCAGAAAACUCAUAUAUGCUUCCUUGCUAAUGAGACUUUCUAUACAACAAAGUGAGGUUAUUCUCUGUUGAUUUAUACCAUAAGGUGCUGGCUGUCAUGUGUUUGAAGAUACCCUAAACUUAACCUAACCUAACAAAACCCCAAACAGUCACUAUAGGUCUUGACUCAGAAAACUCAUAAAUGCUUCCUUACUAAUGAGACUUUCUAUACAACAAAGUGAGGUCAUUCUGUGUUGAUUUAUACCAUAAGGUGCUGGCUAUCAUGUGUUUGAAGAUACCCUAAACUUAACCUAACCUAACCUAACAAAACCCCAAACAGUCACUAUAGGUCUUGACUCAGAAAACUCAUAAAUGCUUCCUUACUAAUGAGACUUUCUAUACAACAAAGUGAGGUCAUUCUCUGUUGAUUUAUACCAUAAGGUGCUGGCUAUCAUGUGUUUGAGGUUACCCUAAACUUAACCUAACCUAACCUAACAAAACCCCAAACAGUCACUAUAGGCCUUGACUCAGAAAACUCAUAUAUGCUUCCUUGCUAAUGAGACUUUCUAUACAACAAAGUGAGGUCAUUCUGUGUUGAUUUAUACCAUAAGGUGCUGGCUAUCAUGUGUUUGAAGAUACCCUAAACUUAACCUAACCUAACAAAACCCCAAACAGUCACUAUAGGCCUUGACUCAGAAAACUCAUAUAUGCUUCCUUACUAAUGAGACUUUCUAUACAACAAAGUGAGGUCAUUCUUUGUUGAUUUAUACCUUAAGGUGCUGGCUAUCAUGUGUUUGAAGAUACCCUAAACUUAACCUAACCUAACCUAAGAAAACCCCAAACAGUCACUAUAGGCCUUGACUCAGAAAAUUCAUAUAUGCUUCCUUACUAAUGAGACUUUCUAUACAAUAAAGUGAGGUCAUUCUGUGUUGAUUUAUACCAUAAGGUGCUGGCUGUCAUGUGUUUGAGGAUACCCUAAACUUAACCUAACCUAACCUAACAAAACCCCAAACAGUCACUAUAGGUCUUGACUCAGAAAACUCGUAUAUGCUUCCUUACUAAUGAGACUUUCUAUACAACAAAGUGAGGUCAUUCUCUGUUGAUUUAUACCAUAAGGUGCUGGCUAUCAUGUGUUUGAAGAUACCCUAAACUUAACCUAACAUAACCUAACAAAACCCCAAACAGUCAUUAUAGGCCUUGACUCAGAAAACUCAUAUAUGCUUCCUUACUAAUGAGACUUUCUAUACAACAAAGUGAGGUCAUUCUCUGUUGAUUUAUACCAUAAGGUGCUGGCUAUCAUGUGUUUGAAGAUACCCUAAACUUAACCUAACAUAACCUAACAAAACCCCAAACAGUCAUUAUAGGCCUUGACUCAGAAAACUCAUAUAUGCUUCCUUACUAAUGAGACUUUCUAUACAACAAAGUGAGGUCAUUCUUUGUUGAUUUAUACCAUAAGGUGCUGGCUAUCAUGUGUUUGAAGAUACCCUAAACUUAACCUAACAAAAUCCUAAACAGUCACUAUAG